This 465-nucleotide ribosomal RNA is filed under the name Vreelandella stevensii. RNAcentral's name for it is "partial 16S ribosomal RNA". It matches the Rfam family "Bacterial small subunit ribosomal RNA", at positions 338 to 795 of the family's 1533-position model. The record is from RNAcentral. Lineage: Bacteria; Pseudomonadati; Pseudomonadota; Gammaproteobacteria; Oceanospirillales; Halomonadaceae.
CCUACGGGGGGCUGCAGUGGGGAAUAUUGGACAAUGGGGGCAACCCUGAUCCAGCCAUGCCGCGUGUGUGAAGAAGGCCCUCGGGUUGUAAAGCACUUUCAGUGAGGAAGAACGCCUGGUGGUUAAUACCCAUCAGGAAAGACAUCACUCACAGAAGAAGCACCGGCUAACUCCGUGCCAGCAGCCGCGGUAAUACGGAGGGUGCGAGCGUUAAUCGGAAUUGCUGGGCGUAAAGCGCGCGUAGGUGGCUUGAUAAGCCGGUUGUGAAAGCCCCGGGCUCAACCUGGGAACGGCAUCCGGAACUGUCAAGCUAGAGUGCAGGAGAGGAAGGUAGAAUUCCCGGUGUAGCGGUGAAAUGCGUAGAGAUCGGGAGGAAUACCAGUGGCGAAGGCGGCCUUCUGGACUGACACUGACACUGAGGUGCGAAAGCGUGGGUAGCAAACAGGAUUAGAUACCCCAGUAGUC